GAAAAAUACCUCAAAUACAUAGCAAUCUUCAGAGAUAUUUUAUAAUACAUCUAAAUACAUAAAUUACAUUAAUUAAACAAAAUAUGAAUAUAUUCAUGGCAUAUAACGAGAUAGUGAAUAUAAUGAAAUACAUAUAAUACAACGGGAUACAUUGAAAUACUAUGAAAUACAACGUCAUACAUUGAAAUAUAUUAACAGAAAAUACCCCCAACUCCGUCGUCUUUGUUCAAGAACAAUCCCUAAUUUUCGGUGAAUCCCUCAUCGAGCAACGAAAUAAUCCACAUAGUAUCUGGUCGACCAUAUCAUCUUCCACUUCGAUUGAGGCCUUGUCUUUUGAUUGCUAAUUCUAAUGAAGAAAAAUAUAGCUGGGCUAGACAAGCCUGGAACCAACUCCCUUCUAAUGGUUGAUUUUGUUUUUUUUUUCCAGUCCACUGGUGAUUUUAUUGCAAUUACGAGAUAUGUAAGUUCUACUCCCUUUCCACCAUCUGUACUCAGCAUGGUGUAGGUUGGAAGGUAAAAAGGCGUCUUCCUAGAAUCGUCCAUCCUACUCUUUUUCCUCCCUGUUCUUUUAGCAAAAUAGAACAUUGAAUCGUGAAUAAUAUUUUCUAGUUGAUGUGGUUGUUUACUUGCAUCACCAUACCUGCAUAAAAGGCGGACCUUGGUGGUGGAAGUGGGAAGAGGUGGCAGGUCUAAGAGGGAAUUUGUGGUGGUAGAUAGCGGAGGUGGGUCAAUUUAGGUGUUAAUGGUGGCGGAGACUAUGGUACAUUAUGGAACAAAGCGUG
RNAcentral lists this long non-coding RNA (782 nucleotides) under Nicotiana benthamiana. RNAcentral describes it as "long non-coding RNA (NBEN_LNC007856)". Lineage: Eukaryota; Viridiplantae; Streptophyta; Magnoliopsida; Solanales; Solanaceae. The record is from RNAcentral.